Molecule: long non-coding RNA, 1223 nt
Organism: Anguilla rostrata (American eel)
Lineage: Eukaryota; Metazoa; Chordata; Actinopteri; Anguilliformes; Anguillidae
Exons: 4
Source: RefSeq, a predicted model, not a curated record
UUUGAUGAAGAAUCGCACAUACACAGUACACCUUAUGAAUAUUAAUUAAUAUCUGAUAUGAAAUAUUACAACAUUUUAAAAAGUAUAACUGGAUUUGCUGAUAUUUGAGAGUCAUGCACCAAAAUCUUUGGCACUCAGUAGAUGAAGUUAGCCUAUGAAGUAAGUUUCCAUCCAGGUUAGUUUCCACUGCACAUAUGUGCAUGCAGAGGGUGAGAAUCUCUCUCACACACACACACACACAAACACAUACACUGUGGGUGGGUGUGUGAUGGUGAGAUAUUUAUCUUUUUUUUGGUUUGGCAAGGUUUGAAACAGUUCAUUACAAUUAAUCUCAUCAUGAUUUCGUUAUUCAUAGUUUUUCUGAUUAUCCUGAAGUACCAAACUGCUGAAGGUUUGGAUAACCCUGCUUCUAUAGUAUUCAAGGACAUAGGACAAAAUGUGACCAUCCACAGCCGUGUCAAAGAAAUAACGAUGUAUCACACAUCCGUCAGCUGGUACCGUCUGAGACCGAGUGGAAAAAUGGAGCAAAUAACUAAUUUAUACGAAUACAAGUUAAAGGACGGUCGUUACAGGGGAGAGCUUCGCGCGAACUCUAAGGAUGCGCAUCUAACCGUCUCCAGUGCAACAAUCGGCGACUCCGGACGCAGCUUCGCCGCGGUGCUUUCUAAAAAAAACUUCAAACUGGGUUCCUCCACAGUUGUAGCCGUAAAAGAUCCCAAGAGCCUCCCUGUAAUGCGCGUCUUCCUCGGUUGCACAGGAACCAUUCUAUGUGAAUUGAAAGGCGGGGGUCCACACUGGAGUGAUCCUCAGUGGGAAACAGAUGAUGCCAAUGACGGGCUGACGUUGUCGGAGGCCAAAGCUAAAACUUUUGUAGAUGAGCACGGUGCAUUCAUACAGUCCUCCAUCCUCUCUUUGAAAGACAGGAUCUGUGGUUUGAACUGUGUCUGUAGGCACAGUACUGGAGUCAUUAUUCGAACCCGGGUCAUGCAAGAUAACGCUACUUCAGUGCAAGGAUCAGUGCCAGCUUCAGGCAAGGAUCAGUGCCAGCUGCUGCUGUACCUGUCUCCCCUGGCUGUGGUGCUGCUGCUGGUGACUGUGACAGCCAGUGGGCUGUGGGCCUGGAGACGGAGGAAGCAGAGCCCUAUAGCACAGGUCAGAUAUUCAAUACAACUGUCUCCUGAAAUAUAUCAAGUAUAAUGCUGGAGUGAAGAAUGUGCUUUCAG